RNAcentral lists this transfer RNA (63 nucleotides) under Andrena dorsata. RNAcentral describes it as "tRNA-Glu". The record is from RNAcentral. Lineage: Eukaryota; Metazoa; Arthropoda; Insecta; Hymenoptera; Andrenidae.
GUUUAUAUAGUUUAAAAAAAACAUUAUAUUUUCAAUAUAAAGUUAAUCAAUAGUUUAUAAAUU